CCUGGCGUUGUAAUCCUUGUACGUGUUUAUCUUGGGAGAUGUGUUGUACAAUAGUAUAUCUUUUUCAAAAAACACUUAUUUCAAAUAUUUUGCAAAAAAAAAAAACACUAUCUCGCCGUCCGCAGAAAAUAUUUUUCUACCGAAUUCGUUGACAUAUUUCGUUAAUCGAAUUGAUUUUGGCGUUUUUGCUUUUGCUUUGGCGUAUAGAACCAAAUCACACGCGAUACAGAAACAAAACGAAUACUGCCGAGUUUAUAACUACGAACGUCCUAACCAUGAUAGGAAUAAUUAUUUCUAUCA
Cinara cedri is the source of this 300-nucleotide non-coding RNA. NCBI's taxonomy places the organism in Eukaryota, Metazoa, Arthropoda, Insecta, Hemiptera, Aphididae. The record is from the annotation of a GenBank genome assembly.